Molecule: ribosomal RNA, 729 nt
Filed under: uncultured bacterium
Lineage: Bacteria
Description: bacterial SSU rRNA
Rfam family: Bacterial small subunit ribosomal RNA
Source: RNAcentral
UUGAGUAAUCGAGAUUAUGGUUAGUGGCGUAAGGGUGAGGAAUGAAUAGGUAACGUACCCCGAAGUCCGGGAUAGCGUCUGAAUGCUUCGGCAUUCUUCCGAAAGGGGCAGUAAUACCGGAUGAUAUCAUCGCAUCUAAGUGCGGUGAUCAAAGAUUUAUCGCUUUGGGAGCGGCCUAUUUCCUAUCAGCUUGUUGGUGAGGUAAUGGCUCACCAAGGCAACGACGGGUAGCGGGACUGAGAGGUUGACCCGCCACAUCGGGACUGAGACACUGCCCGGACCUCCACGGAGGGCUGCAGUAACGAAUAUUGUGCAAUGAACGAAAGUUUGACACAGCGACGCCGCGUGUAGGAAGAAGCCUUUCGGGGUGUAAACUACUGUCAGGGGUUAGAAAGUGCGCUUCGGCGCAUUGAUCAGCCCCAGAGGAAGUCACGGCUAACUUCGUGCCAGCAGCCGCGGUAAUACGAAGGUGGCGAGCGUUGUUCGGAAUCACUGGGCUUAAAGCGCGCGUAGGCGGAAAUUCAAGUGUCCUGUGAAAUCCCCCGGCUCAACCGGGGAACUGCGGGGCAAACUGGAUUUCUUGAGGCAAGUAGGGGUACAUGGAACUCUUAGUGGAGCGGUGGAAUGCGUAGAUAUUAAGAGGAACGCCGAUGGUGAAGACAGUGUACUGGGCUUGUCCUGACGCUGAGGUGCGAAAGCGUGGGGAGCGAACGGGAUUAGAUACCCCGG